CGCCGGAUCCUUUCAACGCUGCAUCAUCGGCAACCAGGAAAAGAAGCGUCUCAACAAAAGCUUUCUUCAUCAAGAAGCAGAGAAUCUCGUCGAGAAAAUUCAAAAUUUCAACGUCAACAACACUGAGUUCGACUACGGCUCAAACUCGACUUCGACUCGGACUAGCCCACACAGGCUGAUGACCAAGUCAUCCCACAAGUCGAUUUCAACUCGAAAUCGAUUCCCACACGGACUCC
RNAcentral lists this long non-coding RNA (236 nucleotides) under Setaria viridis. RNAcentral describes it as "long non-coding RNA (SVIR_LNC005577)". The record is from RNAcentral. Lineage: Eukaryota; Viridiplantae; Streptophyta; Magnoliopsida; Poales; Poaceae.